CACUAUGCUUAGCCGUAAACAUUGAUAGUGUUACACUCCACUAUCCGCCUGGGAACUACGAGCAAUAGCUUAAAACCCAAAGGACUUGGCGGUGCUUUACAUCCAUUUAGAGGAGCCUGUUCUAGAACCGAUAUUCCCCGUUAAACCUCACCUUUCCUAGUUUAACCCGCCUAUAUACCGCCGUCGCCAGCUUACCCUGUGAAGGUCUUAUAGUUAGCAAAGAUGACAAAUAAUCAAGAACGUCAGGUCGAGGUGUAGCGCAUGGAAAGGGAAGAAAUGGGCUACAUUCCCUAUCUUAGGGUAUACGGAUAAUACACUGAAACGUGUAUUUGAAGGAGGAUUUAAUAGUAAGUAGAAAUCAGAAUGUUCUACUGAAUCUGGCACUGAAGCGCGCACACACCGCCCGUCACUCUCCCCGAACUUAACCCACGAACCUUACCUAAACUGUUUUACAUGAAAAGGGGAGGCAAGUCGUAA
Molecule: ribosomal RNA, 477 nt
Filed under: Neoniphon argenteus (clearfin squirrelfish)
Lineage: Eukaryota; Metazoa; Chordata; Actinopteri; Holocentriformes; Holocentridae
Description: partial small subunit ribosomal RNA
Rfam family: Bacterial small subunit ribosomal RNA
Source: RNAcentral